This 699-nucleotide ribosomal RNA is filed under the name Escherichia coli. RNAcentral's name for it is "bacterial SSU rRNA". It matches the Rfam family "Bacterial small subunit ribosomal RNA", at positions 846 to 1533 of the family's 1533-position model. Lineage: Bacteria; Pseudomonadati; Pseudomonadota; Gammaproteobacteria; Enterobacterales; Enterobacteriaceae. The record is from RNAcentral.
CCGGAGCUAACGCGUUAAGUCGACCGCCUGGGGAGUACGGCCGCAAGGUUAAAACUCAAAUGAAUUGACGGGGGCCCGCACAAGCGGUGGAGCAUGUGGUUUAAUUCGAUGCAACGCGAAGAACCUUACCUGGUCUUGACAUCCACGGAAGUUUUCAGAGAUGAGAAUGUGCCUUCGGGAACCGUGAGACAGGUGCUGCAUGGCUGUCGUCAGCUCGUGUUGUGAAAUGUUGGGUUAAGUCCCGCAACGAGCGCAACCCUUAUCCUUUGUUGCCAGCGGUCCGGCCGGGAACUCAAAGGAGACUGCCAGUGAUAAACUGGAGGAAGGUGGGGAUGACGUCAAGUCAUCAUGGCCCUUACGACCAGGGCUACACACGUGCUACAAUGGCGCAUACAAAGAGAAGCGACCUCGCGAGAGCAAGCGGACCUCAUAAAGUGCGUCGUAGUCCGGAUUGGAGUCUGCAACUCGACUCCAUGAAGUCGGAAUCGCUAGUAAUCGUGGAUCAGAAUGCCACGGUGAAUACGUUCCCGGGCCUUGUACACACCGCCCGUCACACCAUGGGAGUGGGUUGCAAAAGAAGUAGGUAGCUUAACCUUCGGGAGGGCGCUUACCACUUUGUGAUUCAUGACUGGGGUGAAGUCGUAACAAGGUAACCGUAGGGGAACCUGCGGUUGGAUCACCUCCUUACCUUAAAGAAGC